Molecule: long non-coding RNA, 274 nt
Filed under: Vigna radiata
Lineage: Eukaryota; Viridiplantae; Streptophyta; Magnoliopsida; Fabales; Fabaceae
Description: long non-coding RNA (VRAD_LNC009003)
Source: RNAcentral
UACAUUUUCAGUUGAAAAGACAUGUUGAAAGUUUAUUAAUUCGUCGUGCCAUAUCCAUGUUGUAUAACUUUGUAUGAAACUAUCACAGAUAAGAUGUUCCCUAAUAUCAAUUGCAUUCAACUUCCUCACAUUCAAACAGUUCACACCGGAACAUCUAAAAUUGACUUCAUCAUCACCACUUGUACUCGCAUUACGUUGCACAAACUCUAUAAAUUCUUCUACCCCUCUCUUGUACUCAGUGCUGAUGCGUGGUAAAUUAAUCCACCCUCGACUC